RNAcentral lists this transfer RNA (72 nucleotides) under Ornithorhynchus anatinus (platypus). It matches the Rfam family "tRNA". Rfam says of the family: Transfer RNA (tRNA) molecules are approximately 80 nucleotides in length. Their secondary structure includes four short double-helical elements and three loops (D, anti-codon, and T loops). Further hydrogen bonds mediate the characteristic L-shaped molecular structure. tRNAs have two regions of fundamental functional importance: the anti-codon, which is responsible for specific mRNA codon recognition, and the 3' end, to which the tRNAs corresponding amino acid is attached (by aminoacyl-tRNA synthetases). tRNAs cope with the degeneracy of the genetic code in two manners: having more than one tRNA (with a specific anti-codon) for a particular amino acid; and 'wobble' base-pairing, i.e. permitting non-standard base-pairing at the 3rd anti-codon position. The record is from Rfam by way of RNAcentral. Lineage: Eukaryota; Metazoa; Chordata; Mammalia; Monotremata; Ornithorhynchidae.
GUCAGUGUGGCUUAGAGGAAAGAACCUGGCCUUGGGGGUCAGAGGACUUGGGUUCUAAUCCCGGCUCUGCCA